CAGCCGCCGCGGUAAUACGUAGGGUGCAAGCGUUAAUCGGAAUUACUGGGCGUAAAGCGCGCGUAGGUGGUUUGUUAAGUUGGAUGUGAAAUCCCCGGGCUCAACCUGGGAACUGCAUCCAAAACUGGCAAGCUAGAGUAUGGUAGAGGGUGGUGGAAUUUCCUGUGUAGCGGUGAAAUGCGUAGAUAUAGGAAGGAACACCAGUGGCGAAGGCGACCACCUGGACUGAUACUGACACUGAGGUGCGAAAGCGUGGGGAGCAAACAGGAUUAGAGACCCCUGUAGUCCCUGUCUCUUAUAA
Molecule: ribosomal RNA, 301 nt
Filed under: uncultured bacterium
Lineage: Bacteria
Description: partial 16S ribosomal RNA
Rfam family: Bacterial small subunit ribosomal RNA
Source: RNAcentral